CCCUUAGAUGUCCGGGGCCGCACGCGCGCUACACUGAAGGAAUCAGCGUGGCUUUCUCCCUGACCCGAAAGGGUUGGGAAACCCGUUGAAUCUCCUUCGUGCUAGGGAUUGGGGCUUGAAAUUGUUCCCCAUGAACGAGGAAUUCCCAGUAAGCGCGAGUCAUAAGCUCGCGUUGAUUACGUCCCUGCCCUUUGUACACACCGCCCGUCGCUACUACCGAUUGAACGGUUUAGUGAGGGCCUCGGAUUGGUCUCGGCCCGCUCUUUACCGGGCGGCGCCGUUGGUCGAGAAGACGCUCGAACUUGAUCGUUUAGAGGAAGUAAAAGUCGUAACA
Molecule: ribosomal RNA, 334 nt
Filed under: uncultured eukaryote
Lineage: Eukaryota
Description: partial 18S ribosomal RNA
Rfam family: Eukaryotic small subunit ribosomal RNA
Source: RNAcentral